RNAcentral lists this ribosomal RNA (254 nucleotides) under uncultured bacterium. RNAcentral's name for it is "partial 16S ribosomal RNA". It matches the Rfam family "Bacterial small subunit ribosomal RNA", at positions 524 to 776 of the family's 1533-position model. The record is from RNAcentral.
UACAGAGGUGGCAAGCGUUGUUCGGAAUUACUGGGCGUAAAGAGCUCGUAGGGGGUUUGUUGCGUCUGCCGUGAAAACCCGAGGCUUAACCUCGUGGCUUGCGGUGGAUACGGGCAGACUUGAGGUAGGUAGGGGAGAAUGGAAUUCCCGGUGUAGCGGUGAAAUGCGCAGAUAUCGGGAGGAACACCGGUGGCGAAGGCGGUUCUCUGGGCCUUACCUGACGCUGAGGAGCGAAAGCGUUGGGAGCGAACAGG